RNAcentral lists this ribosomal RNA (249 nucleotides) under uncultured Acidimicrobiales bacterium. RNAcentral describes it as "partial 16S ribosomal RNA". It matches the Rfam family "Bacterial small subunit ribosomal RNA", at positions 355 to 621 of the family's 1533-position model. The record is from RNAcentral. Lineage: Bacteria; Bacillati; Actinomycetota; Acidimicrobiia; Acidimicrobiales.
UAGGGAAUCUUGCGCAAUGGGGGAAACCCUGACGCAGCGACGCCGCGUGCGGGAUGAAGGCCCUCGGGUUGUAAACCGCUUUCAGCAGGGACGAAAUUGACGGUACCUGCAGAAGAAGGCCCGGCCAACUACGUGCCAGCAGCCGCGGUAAUACGUAGGGGCCAAGCGUUGUCCGGAUUUAUUGGGCGUAAAGAGCUCGUAGGCGGUUCGGUAAGUCAGGUGUGAAAUCUCUCCGCCCAACGGAGAGGG